This 440-nucleotide ribosomal RNA is filed under the name uncultured bacterium. RNAcentral describes it as "partial 16S ribosomal RNA". It matches the Rfam family "Bacterial small subunit ribosomal RNA", at positions 338 to 795 of the family's 1533-position model. The record is from RNAcentral.
CCUACGGGAGGCAGCAGUGGGGGAUAUUGCACAAUGGGGGAAACCCUGAUGCAGCGACGCCGCGUGUGUGAAGACGGUCCUCUGGAUUGUAAACCACUGUCCCCAGGGACGAAGCUGACGGUACCUGGGGAGGAAGCUCCGGCUAACUACGUGCCAGCAGCCGCGGCAAGCCGUAGGGAGCGAGCGUUGUCCGGAAUGACUGGGUGUAAGGGGAGCGUAGGCGGGGAUGCAAGUUGGUGGUAAAAACUACCGGCUCAACUGGUAGUCGCACUCAAAACUGCAGCUCUUGAGUGAAGUAGAGGCAGGCAGAAUUCCUAGUGUAGCGGUGAAAUGCGUAGAGAUUAGGAGGAACACCAGUGGCGAAGGCGGCCUGCUGGGCUUUUACUGACGCUGAGGCUCGAAAGUGUGGGGAGCAAACAGGAUUAGAUACCCGAGUAGUC